This is a long non-coding RNA of Oncorhynchus keta (chum salmon), 913 nucleotides long. RefSeq lists it as uncharacterized. NCBI's taxonomy places the organism in Eukaryota, Metazoa, Chordata, Actinopteri, Salmoniformes, Salmonidae. The transcript is spliced from 3 exons. The record is from RefSeq and is a predicted model, not a curated record.
GUAGAAAAUACCUGUCGUGGCUUAAACAGGUGUGGAAAUACUACAAACUAGUAAACAUAAUAAUCACUGCUUAACUAAAAUGUUACAAACCAACAAAACAGUGGAAAAAAGACUAGUUGGUUACUGGAGAUUUAGGUAGCAAGGAGCUGUGGGGAAAACACUGUUGUAGUUAGCUAGUUACAGGAGAUACAGGUAGCUGUGGGGAAAACACUGUGUUAUAGUUAGCUAGUUACAGGAGAUACAGGUAGCUGUGGGGGAAACACUGUGUUGUAGUUAGCUAGUUACAGGAGAUACAGGUAGCUGUGGGGGAAACACUGUGUUGUAGUUAGCUAGUUACAGGAGAUACAGGUAGCUGUGGGGGAAACACUGUGUUGUAGUUAGCUAGUUACAGGAGAUACAGGUAGCUGUGGGGGAAACACUGUGUUGUAGUUAGCUAGUUACAGGAGAUACAGGUAGCUGUGGGGGAAACACUGUGUUGUAGUUAGCUAGUUACAGGAGAUACAGGUAGCUGUGGGGGAAACACUGUGUUGUAGUUAGCUAGUUACAGGAGAUACAGGUAGCUGUGGGGGAAACACUGUGUUGUAGUUAGCUAGUUACAGGAGAUACAGGUAGCUGUGGGGGAAACACUGUGUUGUAGUUAGCUAGUUACAGGAGAUACAGGUAGCUGUGGGGGAAACACUGUGUUGUAGUUAGCUAGUUACAGGAGAUACAGGUAGCUGUGGGGGAAACACUGUGUUGUAGUUAGCCAUCCUGCUAACGUUAGCUAGUUACUCCUUGAUGAUGAGUAAAUCACAUCCCCUUCACUGGGCCCCACUAAUGAGCAAACGAGGCCAUUGUAAAGAAAGAGCCUCAAAUCUGGACACUAGGAUCCCCACCUCUGGAAACCACACACCCCCAACACCACACAAACUUU